Long non-coding RNA from Dicentrarchus labrax (European seabass), 530 nucleotides. RefSeq lists it as uncharacterized. Lineage: Eukaryota; Metazoa; Chordata; Actinopteri; Moronidae. The record is from RefSeq and is a predicted model, not a curated record. The transcript is spliced from 3 exons.
GGUUUCUCCUAAAUGUAAAAUCAGGUUUCCCCUCACUGUAAAAUGAGGUUACUCCUCAACGUAAAAUGAGGUUUCUCCUCACAGUAAAAUGAGGUUUCUCCUCACAGUAAAAUGAGGUUUCUCCUCACAGUAAAAUGAGGUUUCUCCUCGUUGUAAAAUUAGGUUUCUCCUCACAGUAAAAAAAGGUUUCUCCUCACAGUAAAUUGAAGUUUCUCCUAAAUGUAAAAUGAGGUUUCUCCUCACAGUAAAAUGAAGUUUCUCCUCACAGUAAAAAAAGGUUUCUCCUCACAGUAAAAUGAAGUUUCUCCUCACAGUAAAAAAAGGUUUCUCCUCACAGUAAAAUCAGGUUUCUCCUAAAUGUAAAAUCAGGUUUCCCCUCACUGUAAAAUGAGGUUACUCCUCAACGUAAAAUGAGGUUUCUCCUCACAGUAAAAUGAGGUUUCUUCUCGUUGUAAAAUUAGGUUUCUCCUCACAGUAAAAAAAGGUUUCUCCUCACAGUAAAUUGAAGUUUCUCCUAAAUGUAAAAUGAG